GAGACACUAGUAAAAUGUGCAUUACACUGCCGUGUCAAGACAGAAUUGCGAGUUAAACCCCCGCGUGUCUCA
Molecule: transfer RNA, 72 nt
Filed under: Drepane punctata (spotted sicklefish)
Lineage: Eukaryota; Metazoa; Chordata; Actinopteri; Ephippiformes; Drepaneidae
Also listed under: 1 other name
Description: tRNA-Asp
Source: RNAcentral